This 3984-nucleotide long non-coding RNA is filed under the name Citrus maxima (pomelo). RNAcentral's name for it is "long non-coding RNA (CMAX_LNC002496)". Lineage: Eukaryota; Viridiplantae; Streptophyta; Magnoliopsida; Sapindales; Rutaceae. The record is from RNAcentral.
GUGGCGAUGCAUAAUUGUAAACUGGUGGUGGAGGUGACUUCACCGGUGGGGGAGGAGAGUGGUAGUAGUAUGGAGGUGGUGGGGAUGGUGAUGGAGGUGGUGGGGAUUUGUAGUAGUAUGGUGGUGGAGGCGAGUGGACUGGUGGGGGAGGAGAGUGGUAAUAGUACGGAGGUUGAGGAGAUGGUGACGGAGGUGGUGGGGACUUGUAAUAGUAUGGUGGUGGAGGUGAGUGGACAGGUGGGGGAGGAGAGUGGUAAUAAUAUGGCGGUGGAGGAGAUGGCGACGGAGGUGGUGGGGAUUUGUAGUAGUAGGGCGGGGGAGGAGAGUGGACUGGUGGUGGUGGGGAUUUGUAGUAGUAUGGAGGUGGAGGUGAGUAGACUGGUGGUGGUGGGGAUUUGUAGUAGUAUGGAGGUGGAGGUGAGUGGACUGGUGGUGGCGGGGAUUUGUAGUAGUAGGGUGGAGGAGGAGAGUGGACUGGAGGUGGCGGGGAUUUGUAGUAGUAUGGUGGUGGAGGCGAGUAGACUGGAGGGGAUGGUGACUUGUAGUAGUAAGGUGGCGGAGGUGAGUAAACGGGAGGAGUGGGUGAUUUAUAGUAGUAAGGUGGUGGAGGUGAGUAGACUGGUGGUGGAGGUGAUUUGUAAUAGUAUGGGGCAGGUAUGUGGACUGGCGGCGGUGGUGACUUGUAAUAGUAGGGAGGUGGAGGGGAUGGUGAAGGUGGUGGUGGAGACUUAUAGUAGUAUGGCGGUGGGGGUGAAUAGACUGGUGGUGGAGGUGAUUUAUAAUAGUAUGGAGGUGGAGGAGAUGGCGAUGGAGGUGGCGGAGAUUUAUAGUAGUAAGGUGGUGGAGGAGAGUGGACUGGUGGUGGAGGUGAUUUGUAAUAGUAUGGCGGUGGAGGAGAGUAGACUGGUGGUGGAGGUGAUUUAUAGUAGUAUGGCGGUGGUGGUGAGUGGACAGGUGGUGGAGGUGACUUGUAGUAAUACGGUGGAGGAGAAGAAUAGACCGGUGGUGGUGGAGAUUUAUAAUAGUAAGGUGGUGUCGGAUACUUUAUUGGAGGUGGAGGGGAUUUGUAAUAAUAGGGUGGUGGUGGUGAGGGUGAAGGAGGUGGUGGAGAUUUAUAGUAAUAUGGUGGUGGAGGUGAGUGGACUGGAGGUGGUGGAGAUUUGUAGUAGUAUGGUGGAGGUGAGUAGACAGGUGGGGGAGGAGACUUGUAAUAAUAUGGUGGUGGAGGUGAGUAGACCGGUGGUGGUGGGGAUUUAUAGUAGUAUGGUGGUGGUGAAUAAACCGGUGGUGGAGGAGACUUGUAGUAGUACGGUGGGGGAUGUGAAUAGACUGGUGGAGGUGGAGACUUAUAAUAGUAUGGGGGAGGAGAGUAAGUUGGUGGCGGUGGAGACUUAUAGUAAUAUGGUGAUGGAGAUGGUGGUGGCGGAGACUUAUAGUAAUAAGGCGACGGUGGGUAUUUUACAGGAGGUGGGGGAGAUUUAUAGUAAUAAGGUGGUGGGUAUUUCACAGGAGGUGGUGGAGACUUGUAAUAAUAUGGUGGAGGUGGAGGAGACUUAUAAAUGUAAGUUGGUGGUGGUGGAGGCGGUGACUUGUAGUAAUAAGGAGCGGGGGUAGGCUCAGGCUUGGGCUUCUCACAUUCCUCAUAAGGAGUCUUAGGAGCAUAAGCAAAUGGCUUGGCGUAGAGCACAACUUCAUAAUCAGUCUUCGACUUGACUUUAAGUUUGGCUCCCUUUUUACCCCAGUGCAAGUCAGUGGGAAUGUUGCAUGGUGAACCCUUUGGUGCCAUAUGGAGCUUGGCCUUGCAUGCUUUAGCUCCAUAUUUGCCGUAAUCAAAACCUUCGACUGUGAUGCUGUAUUUGCCGUUGAUCUUCGUCUUUCCAUAUGCCUUGAUUUUCUUGUCACCAACAUCGCAUGUCACUUCAACUACAGCACCUGUUACAUGAAUGUGUCAAUUUUGUCAGCAUCAUUUGUUGCACAAGUCUAGUUACUAGGGCAUUCUAAUUAGUCACUCCCCCACCAACUACAAUAACUAAAUUUGUCCUAUCUCGUUAAUAUAUUGCAAAAAUUAUUUAUAUAUGAUUCUAUGUUAAGACAAUUUGCCAAAUUUUAAAAUAAUUGAGGAAGCAUCAGCCACUAACAAUUUACACCCUGUUCUAUUCUGUACAGUAAAUACGCUUAUAUCCUCUCUGUUUCGCGAUUCACAAAUUAACCCAUCAAUUUAAUACAGACACGUGUAAAUAAAAUCAAUUUAAUUCUCUAAGACAUGAUCCAAUAAUAUCAUUUUUCAAAAUAGCAUUAGGUCAAAAUUGUAAUAAUAACCACAUUACUUGUAGUCAACACUACACCAUCCCCAAAGCAAUAAUAGCGACAUGAUAAUCCAAUGGCCAAAAUAGCCAAAUUUUACAUAUUUUAUUCUCUUUGAACCGAUUGGUUCUUUUUUUCUUUUAAAUGCUAAUUAAAAGUCAUUGAAUUAAAAUCAAGAAAACGAACCAUGUAAAAGCUUGUUGACAUGUACUCUUAAUUUAGGGGAAAAUUAAUGAGCAAUAAUUGAUAUUAAAAAUUAAUUAAUGUUCCAAGAAAACAAAUGUACCUUUAAGAUGUUUCUUGUCAUGUGACUUCUCCGGAUACUCCCAGUCGUAACAUCUGAAACAGUAUACUUUUCCAACAACCUUCACCACAAAAGUGUGGGGAUGUGGAUGAGGGUAUGGGGCAGGUGGUGGCGGAGAAUGGUAGUAGUACGGCGGUGAGACGUAAUGCGUAGGUGGUGGAGGAGACUUAUAGUAGUAAGGAGGUGGUGGAUACUUAACUGGGGGAGGUGGAGAUUUGUAAUAGUAUGGAGGAUGUGGUAAAGGAGAUGGUGGUGGCGGAGACUUGUAAUAGUAUGGUGGUGGAGGAUACGGUGAUGGUGGUGGUGGAGAUUUAUAGUAGUAGGGUGGUGGAGGAUAUUUCACGGGAGGUGGUGGAGACUUGUAGUAGUAAGGUGGUGGUGGAGAUUUCUCGGGCGGGGGUGGAGACUUGUAGUAGUAAGGUGGGGGUAGAUGUUUUUCGGGUGGUGGGGGAGACUUAUAGUAGUAAGGUGGGGGUGGAGAUUUUUCAGGUGGUGGGGGAGACUUGUAGUAGUACGGUGGUGGUGGAGAUUUCUCGGGUGGUGGAGGAGACUUGUAGUAGUAAGGUGGAGGUGGUGAAGGAGAUGGUGGUGGGGGAGACUUGUAGUAGUAAUGUGGGGAUGGAUAUUUUUUAGGUGGCGGGGGGGACUUGUAGUAGUAUGGUGGAGGUGGAGACUUUUCGGGCGGUGGGGGAGACUUGUAGUAGUAUGGUGGGGGUGGAGACUUUUCGGGUGGUGGGGGAGACUUGUAGUAGUAAGGUGGGGGUGGUGGUGAUUUCUCAGGCGGUGGAGGAGACUCAUAGUAGUAAGGCGGAGGUGGAGACUUUUCGGGCGGUGGAGGAGACUUGUAAUAAUAAGGUGGUGGUGGAGAUUUUUCGGGUGGGGGAGGUGACUUGUACUCAUAAGGUGGUGGAGGAUAUUUUUCGGGUGGUGGAGGUGACUUGUACUCGUAAGGUGGUGGUGGAGAUUUUUCGGGUGGUGGAGGUGACUUGUACUCGUAAGGUGGUGGCGGAGAUUUUUCGGGUGGUGGAGGUGACUUGUACUCGUAAGGUGGUGGCGGAGAUUUUUCGGGUGGUGGAGGUGACUUGUACUCAUAAGGUGGUGGUGGAGAUUUUUCGGGUGGUGGAGGUGACUUGUACUCAUAAGGUGGAGAUUUUUCAGGUGGUGGUGGUGACUUAUACUCAUAAGGUGGAGAUUUUUCAGGUGGUGGUGGUGAUUUAUAUUCAUAAGGUGGGGGUGGUGGAGAAGCAUAAGAGUAGGCAUCAGCAGAUACUGAAACUACAUUACUUGAAACAACAACUAUAAUGGCCAGCAAUGCCACUACAAAAUGGGGCCAAAACUGACCCGGAGGCGGGUUUCCGCCCGGAAUCGCCAUGAUU